GAGGGUAUAGCUCAAGAGGUAGGGUGCAUGCUUAGCAUGCAUGAGGUCCUGGGUUCAAUCCUCAGUACCUCCU
This 73-nucleotide transfer RNA is filed under the name Camelus ferus (Wild Bactrian camel). It matches the Rfam family "tRNA". From Rfam's summary of the family: Transfer RNA (tRNA) molecules are approximately 80 nucleotides in length. Lineage: Eukaryota; Metazoa; Chordata; Mammalia; Artiodactyla; Camelidae. The record is from Rfam by way of RNAcentral.